Molecule: non-coding RNA, 196 nt
Filed under: Sphingomonas mucosissima
Lineage: Bacteria; Pseudomonadati; Pseudomonadota; Alphaproteobacteria; Sphingomonadales; Sphingomonadaceae
Source: RNAcentral
UAGGGGCCGGCCGCGAACGGUUCCCGGAGACGGGAUGAAAAGGGAAGUCGGGAAGGGCGAAUAGCCUAGCCCCGCGCUGCCCCCGCAACUGUGAUCGGUGAGUGCCGUCCACUCGUGCCACUGGAGUUCGCUCCGGGAAGGCCGGGCGGCACGUUGACCCGAGAGCCAGGAGACCUGCCGGUCGCACGUCGAUCCA